RNAcentral lists this ribosomal RNA (254 nucleotides) under uncultured bacterium. Its description in RNAcentral is "partial 16S ribosomal RNA". It matches the Rfam family "Bacterial small subunit ribosomal RNA", at positions 82 to 339 of the family's 1533-position model. The record is from RNAcentral.
CGGAUGCUGACGAGUGGCGAACGGGUGAGUAAUAUAUUGGAACGUGCCCAGUCGUGGGGGAUAACGCAGCGAAAGCUGUGCUAAUACCGCAUACGAUCUACGGAUGAAAGCGGGGGACCUUCGGGCCUCGCGCGAUUGGAGCGGCCGAUAUCAGAUUAGGUUGUUGGUGAGGUAAAAGCUCACCAAGCCGACGAUCUGUAGCUGGUCUGAGAGGACGACCAGCCACACUGGAACUGAGACACGGUCCAGACUCC